This 74-nucleotide transfer RNA is filed under the name Rhizobium leguminosarum. RNAcentral describes it as "tRNA-Thr". It matches the Rfam family "tRNA". From Rfam's summary of the family: Transfer RNA (tRNA) molecules are approximately 80 nucleotides in length. Their secondary structure includes four short double-helical elements and three loops (D, anti-codon, and T loops). Lineage: Bacteria; Pseudomonadati; Pseudomonadota; Alphaproteobacteria; Hyphomicrobiales; Rhizobiaceae. RNAcentral also lists the same sequence under 1 other name. The record is from RNAcentral.
CCUUUCGUAGCUCAACUGGAUAGAGCGCCGGUCUAGUAAACUGGAGGUUGCAGGUUCGAGUCCCGCCGGGAGAU